RNAcentral lists this ribosomal RNA (67 nucleotides) under Longicatena caecimuris. RNAcentral's name for it is "partial 16S ribosomal RNA". It matches the Rfam family "Bacterial small subunit ribosomal RNA", at positions 1 to 65 of the family's 1533-position model. The record is from RNAcentral. Lineage: Bacteria; Bacillati; Bacillota; Erysipelotrichia; Erysipelotrichales; Erysipelotrichaceae.
AUCAAAUGGAGAGUUUGAUCCUGGCUCAGGAUGAACGCUGGCGGCAUGCCUAAUACAUGCAAGUCGA